This 497-nucleotide ribosomal RNA is filed under the name uncultured bacterium. Its description in RNAcentral is "partial 16S ribosomal RNA". It matches the Rfam family "Bacterial small subunit ribosomal RNA", at positions 28 to 507 of the family's 1533-position model. The record is from RNAcentral.
GAUGAACGCUGGCGGCGUGCCUAAUACAUGCAAGUCGAGCGAACAGACGAGGAGCUUGCUCCUCUGACGUUAGCGGCGGACGGGUGAGUAACACGUGGAUAACCUACCUAUAAGACUGGGAUAACUUCGGGAAACCGGAGCUAAUACCGGAUAAUAUAUUGAACCGCAUGGUUCAAUAGUGAAAGACGGUUUUGCUGUCACUUAUAGAUGGAUCCGCGCCGCAUUAGCUAGUUGGUAAGGUAACGGCUUACCAAGGCAACGAUGCGUAGCCGACCUGAGAGGGUGAUCGGCCACACUGGAACUGAGACACGGUCCAGACUCCUACGGGAGGCAGCAGUAGGGAAUCUUCCGCAAUCGGCGAAAGCCUGACGGAGCAACGCCGCGUGAGUGACGAAGGUCUUCGGAUCGUAAAACUCUGUUAUUAGGGAAGAACAAAUGUGUAAGUAACUAUGCACGUCUUGACGGUACCUAAUCAGAAAGCCACGGCUAACUACGUG